AUCUGUUGUAAAGAGGACAAGAUGAAGGGAAAGAUUUGGGCACUAGAGUCACAGCUGAGGAUCUGUGGACAGGUGUGUUCAGGAACACCGUCUGUACCUAUGACUUACAGUAUAUGGAUGCUCAUACAAAAUCGCCACCAGGCUGAAAUCACAAAGAGCAAUCAUCAUUUUGCUGUCUAGGGAUGGAGCCAAGAUGCUGCUGCUACAGUCAGAGCAGCAGAGGCAGGAGGUGGAGGAGAUGGCUGUAGCCGCGCUCCAGAGGGUCACUGACCAGACUAACAAGGCCCAGGACAGGGCUCACAGCCUGGAGAUGGCACUGCAGACAGCACAGGUUCAGUCAUCACAGUGGAGAGAGCGCUAUGAGGAGGAGAGGAUCAAAUGCACCCAGAUGAGGAAGUCUCUGGUGCAGAACAUAGACAAUAUAAACAUAUUACAGAGCCAGCUCGAGGUACACACACACACACACAUAUAUAUAUAUAUAUAUAUAUAUAUUUCUGGAUUGAAUGGGCAAAUGACAUAACACAAUAAUAUAUGCCUAUAAAGUAUCUAAAAGCUGUCUUCGGAUAUCAAACACCAUUACAGAUAAGUGUGAAAACAGUUACACAUGUCAAAAUGGGGGAUAUCCUCCUUUAAAUGGCGGGAUUGCUCUUUGCUGAAACAAACUGCAAAUGAUGGCUUUAAGUAAAUUAAAUGGGGUUUAUUAUUUCUUGACAAAUCUUUCUUAAUUAAAUAACUGGUGUUUAAAAAGUCAUAGAUGACUUAUCCUAGUAAAUAAGUUCCCAGCAUAGCACACCCAUUGACUAUACAUUGGAAUGACCGUAUUAUCAUUACCGAUAUUAUGGUUCUCAUUACCGAAAUGGACCUGAAAAUAACAUGGUAUUGAGGAAUGUGUGUUUUAGUAAUGAGACGCCCUUAGUUUAAUGUGCAAAUAAUAUGAGACAGACAUUAUGAGUCAGUACGAAAUUGACCCCACCACUGAAGUCUAUUCAUGCUACCAUGGUUGUAAGGUUAUGGUCCUCUGACUUUUUUCCAAUUUGGGCUUUUUAGCCAUUUCGGUAACGAGAAGGUCAAAUGGGGAAACGGGGGUGUUUGAGUAUAAGAACCUCAUUCUGAAUGCAUAUAAGGGAAUAUAUUAAAUUAUCUUGUGCUCAUCUAAUAACUACUCCUCUAGAUCAGUGGUACCCAAACUGUGGGAUGCGCCAUGUUGUAUUAGCAAAAAGGCACAAGCCCAUAGUUUGUGUUACAAUGUUUGAGUCACUCAAAUAUCACAUAAAUACACAUUAGACAUGGCAAAAGGCAUGGCAAAAUGUAUAGAAUUGCAAGAGAAUUAGCUUUAAAAUUGCAAAAUGUUCUCAUAACAAAAUAUGGAGAAUUGCAGGAAAUAAGCUUUAAAACCUGGAAAAACAUUGCUUGUGCCCAUGGAAAUAGACGUGGGGGGCGUGGGAUGUUCCCAUUGCCUGAUUGAAAAUGUUUGGGAAUCCCAUGGGUGAAUUUAUAAAC
RNAcentral lists this long non-coding RNA (1500 nucleotides) under Oncorhynchus mykiss (rainbow trout). RNAcentral describes it as "lncRNA (ENSOMYG00000067002.1)". Lineage: Eukaryota; Metazoa; Chordata; Actinopteri; Salmoniformes; Salmonidae. The record is from RNAcentral.